This 246-nucleotide ribosomal RNA is filed under the name uncultured bacterium. Its description in RNAcentral is "partial 16S ribosomal RNA". It matches the Rfam family "Bacterial small subunit ribosomal RNA", at positions 57 to 305 of the family's 1533-position model. The record is from RNAcentral.
GCAAGUCGAACGGAAAGGCCCUGCUUGCAGGGUACUCGAGUGGCGAACGGGUGAGUAACACGUGGGUGAUCUGCCCUGCACUUCGGGAUAAGCCUGGGAAACUGGGUCUAAUACCGGAUAGGAGCCAUUUUUAGUGUGAUGGUUGGAAAGUUUUUUCGGUGUAGGAGGAGCUCGCGGCCUAGCAGCGUGUUGGGGGGGUAAUGGAGUACCAAGGCGGCGACGGGGAGCCGGCCUGAGAGGGUGGGC